ACGGCUCAGUAACACGUGGAUAACCUGCCCUUGGGUCCGGCAUAACCCCGGGAAACUGGGGAUAAUUCCGGAUACCGCAUAUGUGCUGGAAUGCUUUAUGCGUAAAAUGGAUUCGUCUGCCCAAGGAUGGGUCUGCGGCCUAUCAGGUAGUAGUGGGUGUAAUGUACCUACUAGCCGACAACGGGUACGGGUUGUGAGAGCAAGAGCCCGGAGAUGGAUUCUGAGACAUGAAUCCAGGCCCUACGGGGCGCAGCAGGCGCGAAAACUUUACAAUGCGGGAAACCGUGAUAAGGGGACACCGAGUGUCAGCGUCAUACGCUGGCUGUCCAGGUGUGUAAAAUACACCUGUUAGCAAGGGCCGGGCAAGACCGGUGCCAGCCGCCGCGGUAACACCGGCGGCCCGAGUGGUGAUCGUGAUUAUUGGGUCUAAAGGGUCCGUAGCCGGUUUGGUCAGUCCUCCGGGAAAUCUGAUAGCUCAACUAUUAGGCUAUCGGGGGAUACUACCAGACUUGGAACCGGGAGAGGUAAGAGGUACUACAGGGGUAGGAGUGAAAUCUUGUAAUCCCUGUGGGACCACCUGUGGCGAAGGCGUCUUACCAGAACGGGUUCGACGGUGAGGGACGAAAGCUGGGGGCACGAACCGGAUUAGAUACCCGGGUAGUCCCAGCCGUAAACGAUGCUCGCUAGGUGUCAGGCAUGGCGCGACCGUGUCUGGUGCCGCANGGAAGCCGUGAAGCGAGCCACCUGGGGAAGUACGGCCGCAAGGCUGAAACUUAAAGGAAUUGGCGGGGGANCAC
This 797-nucleotide ribosomal RNA is filed under the name uncultured Methanosarcina sp. Its description in RNAcentral is "bacterial SSU rRNA". It matches the Rfam family "Archaeal small subunit ribosomal RNA", at positions 85 to 879 of the family's 1478-position model. The record is from RNAcentral. Lineage: Archaea; Methanobacteriati; Methanobacteriota; Methanomicrobia; Methanosarcinales; Methanosarcinaceae.